AUGUUCAGGUAAUCGCUGUAGCAUCAUUGAUGGUAUAGAGGAAAGUCCAUGCUCGCACGAUCUGAGAUGAUCGUAGUGUUCGUGCCUAGCCAAGACAUAAGCUAGGGUAAUCUGGAUUUUUCUAGAUUAACGGCUAGAAAAUCACCUAAGUCUGUUUUACAGAUAGGGUUAUUUUCUUGUAAAAGUGCCAUAGAGACGAGUUUUACUGGAAACAGUAAAAGUGGAACGUGGUAAACCCCUCGAGCGAGAAACUCAAAUUUGGUAGAGGAAUUCUCUGGAUGGAAAUGAACGGAAAGAGAGACAGACUAUAAUGUCUGUAGAUAGAUGAUUACCACCGGCGUACGAGGAUAAUGAUCCGCAUGAAGUACAAUGGAUACAGAACAUGGCUUAUCGAA
Molecule: RNase P RNA, 395 nt
Filed under: Terrilactibacillus tamarindi
Lineage: Bacteria; Bacillati; Bacillota; Bacilli; Caryophanales; Bacillaceae
Description: Bacterial RNase P class B
Rfam family: Bacterial RNase P class B
About the family: Ribonuclease P (RNase P) is a ubiquitous endoribonuclease, found in archaea, bacteria and eukarya as well as chloroplasts and mitochondria. Its best characterised activity is the generation of mature 5'-ends of tRNAs by cleaving the 5'-leader elements of precursor-tRNAs. Cellular RNase Ps are ribonucleoproteins.
Source: Rfam by way of RNAcentral